Molecule: ribosomal RNA, 513 nt
Filed under: uncultured bacterium
Lineage: Bacteria
Description: partial 16S ribosomal RNA
Rfam family: Bacterial small subunit ribosomal RNA
Source: RNAcentral
GACGAACGCUGGCGGCGUGCCUAAUACAUGCAAGUCGAGCGGAACUGGGGGAGCUUGCUCCUUCCAGUUUAGCGGCGGACGGGUGAGUAACACGUGGGCAACCUGCCCUGCAGAUCGGGAUAACUCCGGGAAACCGGUGCUAAUACCGAAUAGUUUGGCGCCUCUCCUGAGGCGCUACGGAAAGACGGUUUCGGCUGUCACUGCAGGAUGGGCCCGCGGCGCAGUUAGCUAGUUGGUGGGGUAACGGCCCACCAAGGCGACGACGCGUAGCCGACCUGGGAGGGUGACCGGCCACACUGGGACUGAGACACGGCCCAGACCCCUACGGGAGGCAGCAGUAGGGAAUCUUCCGCAAUGGACGCAAGUCUGACGGAGCAACGCCGCGUGAGUGACGAAGGUUUUCGGAUCGUAAAACUCUGUUGUGAGGGAAGAACACGUACCAACUAACUAUUGGUACCUUGACGGUACCUCACCAGAAAGCCACGGCUAACUACGUGCCAGCCGCCGCCGUAA